AGUGAACGCUGGCGGCAGGCCUAACACAUGCAAGUCGAGCGGCAGCGCGGGGCAACCCUGGCGGCGAGCGGCGGACGGGUGAGGAAUGCAUCGGAAUCUACCUCGUUGUGGGGGAUAACCUCGGGAAACCGGGACUAAUACCGCAUACGACCUACGGGUGAAAGUGGGGGACCUUCGGCCUCACGCGAUGAGAUGAGCCGAUGCCGGAUUAGCUAGUUGGCGGGGUAAAGGCCCACCAAGGCGACGAUCCGUAGCUGGUCUGAGAGGAUGAUCAGCCACACUGGAACUGAGACACGGUCCAGACUCCUACGGGAGGCAGCAGUGGGGAAUAUUGGACAAUGGGCGCAAGCCUGAUCCAGCCAUGCCGCGUGUGUGAAGAAGGCCUCGGUUGUAAG
RNAcentral lists this ribosomal RNA (395 nucleotides) under uncultured bacterium. Its description in RNAcentral is "bacterial SSU rRNA". It matches the Rfam family "Bacterial small subunit ribosomal RNA", at positions 30 to 429 of the family's 1533-position model. The record is from RNAcentral.